Molecule: long non-coding RNA, 879 nt
Organism: Olea europaea var. sylvestris
Lineage: Eukaryota; Viridiplantae; Streptophyta; Magnoliopsida; Lamiales; Oleaceae
Exons: 3
Source: RefSeq, a predicted model, not a curated record
AGUUGUAGCAGUUUGCAGAGGCCUCUUUUCCUCUAAUCUCCAAUUCACUACUCUCUUAAAAGAGAGGAUGUUGCAUUUACUAUUCAUUUGUACACCCUUGUGUUCACACCUACUCAGCUUUGCACUGUUCAUUAUUCAAUUCCCAUAAAUUACUCCUACGCUUUACCUUCUCCUUUGUCUUUUACUUUCCCUUUCUUUUCAAGAGCAGCUCUCGAUUUCUAGAAGCUGUAUUUUUUACAAUUUCUUGAUUUUCACAUAAACUAAUUUAUUGGUUACCAACUAAUUUAAGAUGAAGUGCCAAUUAUAUUUGUUACGAUUUCUUCACUUCUAUUGUUGAAUUUGCAAUUUAUUUUUUUUAAAUUUUUUCGUUCGAUCUUUUGAUAAAUCAUUGCUUUGAUAUUCUUGUUGUGUAUUCUUUGUUUAAUUUCUUUCUCUUGUGUAUAUAUUUUCCUGUUCUUACCAUUUUUCCAUUGUCAGUUCCAAGUUCCAACUCUUCAAGGUGCAAAACGGAGGGUGGCGGUACUACUAGCGAUGCGCAAUGGACUGCUUUCCGAUGCAUACAAUGGAGGAUGGUGCUUUUAUAGGGAGAAGAGGGAAUACAGGAACACAUAAAAAAGCAGUAAGGAGGUUUGAGGAGAAAACUUAUAUCGCUGGAAUAAGUCGGGUCCAAUCACCAGGAAUGUUUAUAGAUUAGUUGAUAAAGAUAUCUUUGGAGAUUCUAUAAUUUGAGAGAGAAUGCAGAUCCCUAUAACCAAUUCUUAUCAGUUCAAUGCUGCUAAAACAACCAAUAUCCUUAAUAUUCAGGUAAUGGAGAUCCUUUCAUUUUUAGGUACCGAUAACAAAUGUGGUUCUAUUGUGCUUUCGAACAACUAAACAGUA